This 493-nucleotide ribosomal RNA is filed under the name uncultured bacterium. RNAcentral describes it as "bacterial SSU rRNA". It matches the Rfam family "Bacterial small subunit ribosomal RNA", at positions 903 to 1397 of the family's 1533-position model. The record is from RNAcentral.
AAAUGAAUAGACGGGGGCCCGCACAAGCGGUGGAGCAUGUGGUUUAAUUCGAAGCAACGCGAAGAACCUUACCAAGGCUUGACAUCCCUUUGAAUACAUUAGAGAUAGUGUAGCUUUUCGGAGCGAAGGUGACAGGUGGUGCAUGGUUGUCGUCAGCUCGUGUCGUGAGAUGUUGGGUUAAGUCCCGCAACGAGCGCAACCCUUACCUUUAGUAGCCAGCAUUAGGGUGGGCACACUAGAGGGACUGCCGUGGAUAACACGGAGGAAGGUGGGGAUGACGUCAAAUCAUCAUGCCCCUUAUGUCUUGGGCAACACACGUGCUACAAUGGAUGUUACAAAGUGAAGCGAAGUCGUGAGGCGGAGCAAAGCACAAAAAGGCAUCCUCAGUUCGGAUUGUAGUCUGCAACCCGACUACAUGAAGCUGGAAUCGCUAGUAAUCGCGGAUCAGCAUGUCGCGGUGAAUACGUUCCCGGGCCUUGUACACACCGCCCGU